UCAUCUGGGCUACUGGCUGAACACCCAUGGCUGUUGGGUUUCAGUCCCUCUUCCCCCUCCUCUUUUUCUUAUUCCGGAGGAGGAGCCAACUGCUCCUGAAGGUUCUGGGCGGUCAGAGUAUGACCUUGGGUGUUGCCAUGGGAAAAUGUUGGAAUCACAGGGCCCAAGGAGUAUUUGCUUUAAGAAGAGUCCAGACCUGGACACAGCCACUCUUGCGCCCAGCGACCUCUCCGGACAGCGCAGAGCGUGCAGAGCUAGGUGGCGCAGAGCUAGGUGGCGCGCAGCCGUGUGUAGGGUUCCGGACGCGCGCAUGUGCGUGUGCGCGCCACGGUAAGCACUGCCCCCAACCCACAGGCCAGCAGCUUGCGGUGCCAUCUGUCACCAGCCUCGCCCGGGCUGCUCCCUCUGAAUGGCUUUCCCUAAGACCAACCCGCUCGCCCUGUCGGACGCAAUCAGGUCACCCACUGCAGGACGCAGCCGGAAGUGCCCUCUAUUCCCAAACAGCACCGGUUCCAAGCUGCAAGCUGUCCUGGGUUCCCCCUGACGGCGUGCGCGCUCCACCAGGUCCAGGAACUCAGGACCCGGGGCCAGCAUCUUUUUAG
Molecule: long non-coding RNA, 602 nt
Filed under: Ictidomys tridecemlineatus (thirteen-lined ground squirrel)
Lineage: Eukaryota; Metazoa; Chordata; Mammalia; Rodentia; Sciuridae
Description: lncRNA (ENSSTOG00000030371.1)
Source: RNAcentral